Long non-coding RNA from Phacochoerus africanus (Common warthog), 927 nucleotides. RefSeq lists it as uncharacterized. The transcript is spliced from 3 exons. Lineage: Eukaryota; Metazoa; Chordata; Mammalia; Artiodactyla; Suidae. The record is from RefSeq and is a predicted model, not a curated record.
UCCCUCAGGAUAGCUCUCAGCCCUGCUCCCUUCCAUGGAACAUUCCUUGAACAGAACAAAAUCCCAAGGAGAGCUGAGGCUUCACAUGGACCAGCUUCUAGCAGAGGGACACGGCAAAUGAAAUGGAAUUUGCCCUCCGAUGAAAAAUGGCAAAUGAAACGAAGCCUUCUAUGUUAGUGAACAUUUAUUCUUACCAUGCAUUUGGUGCUGUCCUAGACUCUCAACCCUUCCAGGGGUCCUUGCAAGCAUUGUCAGAGCGUUAGAGGCCAUCUGGACAAUUGGAGGAGCACAGGAUUUCCUAAGAAUGAAGUGUGCUUCUAAAGUUGUGUUGGAGCACAUGCAGAGAACUGGGACGCUGGUCCUAGGCAGCGGGGCCAUGUCACAAUUUCCCGUGGCUGGCACUGAAGCAGCAGCUGAUUGGCGACUUGAUAGGAGUCAUUGAAGGUAACUCUGAAGAUACAGGACCUCCUAAAUCAUCACUUCAUCAAGGUUUGACUUGAAAUCAUAUCCAUCAUGAAGCAAAAUGAAGAUGUCACUGAGCAACUGAGACAGUCUAGUUAACUUCCCAAACUGGUACGUCUUCAGGCACAGCUGGGUCCAGGAGCUCAAACAGUAUUCUCAGAGUUCUUGCUCUCCCUCUUUGUCUCUGUCUUUCUCUGUGUGUGUUCAUUUCAUUCCAAGUCCGAUCUUGGAGGAAAGAAAUCGAUAGGGCCAAAACCAGAGAUUGAGAUCUAAAAAGAAGAGAAACUCUUUUCUUCCCCAUCUGCACAUGCGUCAUGGCAGAUUGACUUAGUCUGAGUCAUGUGCCCACCCUGCAAAAAACAUGGUCUCAAAGAGGACUAAUUUUUCUGUGAGCAACAUAGAUUCAAAAUAACAACCACUUAUCACCUCACACCAGUCAGAAUGGCCAUCAUUAAUAAAUCCACA